GACGAACGCUGGCGGCGUGCUUAACACAUGCAAGUCGAACGGGUCUGCCCUGUUUUUUGCGGGGUGGGUCAGUGGCGAACGGGUGAGUAACACGUGAGUAACCUGCCCCUCACUUCUGGAUAACCGCUUGAAAUGGUGGCUAAUACGGGGUGUUCUGGCUGUGCCGCAUGGUGUGGCUGGGAAAGAUUCACUUUUGUGGUGUUUUGGUGGGGGAUGGGCUCGCGGCCUAUCAGCUUGUUGGUGGGGUGAUGGCCUGCCAAGGCUUUGACGGGUAGCCGGCCUGAGAGGGUGGGCGGUCACACUGGGACUGAGAUACGGCCCAGACUCCUGCGGGAGGCAGCAGUGGGGGGUAUUGCACAAUGGGCGGAAGCCUGAUGCAGCGGCGUCGCGUGAGGGAUGGAGGCCUUCGGGUUGUGAACCUCUUUCGCCGGUGAAGAAGGUCCUGCUCUUUGUGGUGGGGUUGACGGUAGCCGGGUUAUGAAGCGCCGGCUAACUACGUG
This 500-nucleotide ribosomal RNA is filed under the name uncultured bacterium. RNAcentral describes it as "partial 16S ribosomal RNA". It matches the Rfam family "Bacterial small subunit ribosomal RNA", at positions 28 to 507 of the family's 1533-position model. The record is from RNAcentral.